GACGAACGCUGGCGGCGUGCCUAAUACAUGCAAGUAGAACGCUGAAGGAGGAGCUUGCUUCUCUGGAUGAGUUGCGAACGGGUGAGUAACGCGUAGGUAACCUGCCUGGUAGCGGGGGAUAACUAUUGGAAACGAUAGCUAAUACCGCAUAAUAGCAGUUGUUGCAUGACAACUGUUUGAAAGGUGCAAUUGCACCACUACCAGAUGGACCUGCGUUGUAUUAGCUAGUUGGUGGGGUAACGGCUCACCAAGGCGACGAUACAUAGCCGACCGGAGAGGGGGAUCGGCCACACUGGGACUGAGACACGGCCCAGACUCCUACGGGAGGCAGCAGUAGGGAAUCUUCGGCAAUGGACGGAAGUCUGACCGAGCAACGCCGCGUGAGUGAAGAAGGUUUUCGGAUCGUAAAGCUCUGUUGUAAGAGAAGAACGAGUGUGAGAGUGGAAAGUUCACACUGUGACGGUAUCUUACCAGAAAGGGACGGCUAACUACGUG
RNAcentral lists this ribosomal RNA (495 nucleotides) under uncultured bacterium. RNAcentral's name for it is "partial 16S ribosomal RNA". It matches the Rfam family "Bacterial small subunit ribosomal RNA", at positions 28 to 507 of the family's 1533-position model. The record is from RNAcentral.